This 305-nucleotide unclassified non-coding RNA is filed under the name plant metagenome. RNAcentral's name for it is "partial contains 5.8S ribosomal RNA, internal transcribed spacer 2, and large subunit ribosomal RNA". The stretch from base 1 to 105 matches the Rfam family "5.8S ribosomal RNA", at positions 50 to 154 of the family's 154-position model. The record is from RNAcentral.
GAAAUGCGAUAAGUAAUGUGAAUUGCAGAAUUCAGUGAAUCAUCGAAUCUUUGAACGCAUAUUGCGCCCGCCAGUAUUCUGGCGGGCAUGCCUGUCCGAGCGUCAUUUCAACCAUCAAGCCCCCGGGCUUGUGUUGGGGACCUGCGGCUGCCCGCAGGCCCUGAAAACCAGUGGCGGGCUCGCUGUCACACCGAGCGUAGUAGCAAUCACCUCGCUCAGGGCGUGCUGCGGGUUCCGGCCGUUAAACAGCCUUACAAAACCCAAGGUUGACCUCGGAUCAGGUAGGAAGACCCGCUGAACUUAAG